Molecule: ribosomal RNA, 253 nt
Filed under: uncultured bacterium
Lineage: Bacteria
Description: partial 16S ribosomal RNA
Rfam family: Bacterial small subunit ribosomal RNA
Source: RNAcentral
UACGUAGGCAGCAAGCGUUGUUCGGAGUUACUGGGCGUAAAGGGUGCGUAGGCGGUUGUUUAAGUUUGGUGUGAAAUCUCCCGGCUCAACUGGGAGGGUGCGCCGAAUACUGAAUGACUAGAGUGCGGGAGAGGAGAGUGGAAUUCCUGGUGUAGCGGUGAAAUGCGUAGAUAUCAGGAGGAACACCGGUGGUGUAGACGGCUCUCUGGACCGUAACUGACGCCGAGGCACGAAAGCGUGGGUAGCAAACAGG